RNAcentral lists this transfer RNA (73 nucleotides) under Streptomyces sp. PVA_94-07. Lineage: Bacteria; Bacillati; Actinomycetota; Actinomycetes; Kitasatosporales; Streptomycetaceae. The record is from RNAcentral.
CGCGCGGACCCGGGUCUUCAUCAAGGGCGAGGGGGUCGUCGUCGACGAACCGAGUGCGGCGGCGAUCAACACG